Helianthus annuus (common sunflower) is the source of this 162-nucleotide non-coding RNA. Lineage: Eukaryota; Viridiplantae; Streptophyta; Magnoliopsida; Asterales; Asteraceae. The record is from Rfam.
UCACUUACCUGGACGGGGUCAAUGUGCGAUCAUGAAGGUCCAUGGCCUAGGUUGUUGACCUCAAUUGCACUCAGGAGGGAGUGCCUGCCUAAGGUCGGCCCAAGUGGUCGAGCCUACGUCAUAAUUUGUGGCAAUGGGGGCCUACGUUCCUGCAGCUUCUGA